RNAcentral lists this ribosomal RNA (253 nucleotides) under uncultured bacterium. RNAcentral describes it as "partial 16S ribosomal RNA". It matches the Rfam family "Bacterial small subunit ribosomal RNA", at positions 524 to 776 of the family's 1533-position model. The record is from RNAcentral.
UACGAAGGGGGCGAGCGUUGUUCGGAAUUACUGGGCGUAAAGGGCGCGUAGGCGGCGACUCUAGUCAGAUGUGAAAGUCCUGGGCUUAACCUGGGGACUGCAUUUGGGACUGCAAGGCUUGAGUGCGGCAGAGGAGACUGGAAUUCCUGGUGUAGCAGUGAAAUGCGUAGAUAUCAGGAGGAAUACCGAUGGCGAAGGCAGGUCUCUGGGCUGACACUGACGCUCAUGCACGAAAGCGUGGGGAGCAAACAGG